AUUGAACGCUGGCGGCAUGCCUUACACAUGCAAGUCGAACGGUAACGGGCCUUCGGGUGCCGACGAGUGGCGCACGGGAGAGUAAUACAUCGGAACGUGCCCGAUCGUGGGGGAUAACGAGGCGAAAGCUUUGCUAAUACCGCAUACGAUCUACGGAUGAAAGCAGGGGACCGCAAGGCCUUGCGCGGACGGAGCGGCCGAUGGCAGAUUAGGUAGUUGGUGGGAUAAAAGCUUACCAAGCCGACGAUCUGUAGCUGGUCUGAGAGGAUGAUCAGCCACACUGGGACUGAGACACGGCCCAGACUCCUACGGGAGGCAGCAGUGGGGAAUUUUGGACAAUGGGCGCAAGCCUGAUCCAGCCAUGCCGCGUGCAGGAUGAAGGCCUUCGGGUUGUAAACUGCUUUUGUACGGAACGAAAAGCCUUCUUUUAAUACAGGAGGGUCAUGACGGUACCGUAAGAAUAAGCACCGGCUAACUACGUG
This 482-nucleotide ribosomal RNA is filed under the name uncultured bacterium. Its description in RNAcentral is "partial 16S ribosomal RNA". It matches the Rfam family "Bacterial small subunit ribosomal RNA", at positions 30 to 507 of the family's 1533-position model. The record is from RNAcentral.